UAUUCUAAUGUAUGCUGGAAUUUCCAUGGUAUUCUCUGUGAUGUCACUAAUGUUAUGGAAACAGAAACUGCCCUUGUGGCAUUUAGUUAGUGCUUAGGUUUAACAACAGACAUUGUUUCAGAGUGAUCAAGCUAUUAACCUAGAAAACAGAGAGCAUGGAGAGAACAGAGAGAGGAAGAAGAAAUUGGAAUUUCUUUCUUGUUAUAAAAGUGCAAAAAAUGAUCUGGUGGAAAGCAGAGAGAAGGAUCUGCUGGGAAGGCACCAUCCCAACCUUCGACCAUCAGUGAGCAAGUUCAACAGAUUAAGAAGAUGGAGAAACUGAUUAUUGAGCUCCAGAAGAUGACCUGUUAGUUCGGUAAACUCUCAGGUAUACUGAGCCAUUGUACCAACAGGAUUUGAACAAAAGAUAGCCAUUAUGCCCAGUUUUUUGUUGACUGUCUUGACCUCCCUUUGUUAACCCUAGUUUUCUCACAUCACAAGAAACAGCAUCUCCAAUGUCCCCAUGCAUAAUUUAAUUUUAUCAUGUGCCUCUCAGUGGUAGAAUAUGAAGACAGGAUAGGAGUGUGGUGGGAAGCUUUUUCAUUACUCAGAAUAGCAGAAGCUGUGGUUUGAAUAGCAGUCUUGAGAUAUGGCAAGUAGUUUGUGAGCUCUUGUCAUGGAUUUAAAUAGACAUGGAAUGCAUUUCCUGUCCUAAGAGGAACAAAGAAAGCUGGUCAGCAACAGUAGCACAGUAACUUAGACUUAGGUAGGUAAAGUUUUAUUUAUUAAUUUUUAUUUAUUUAUUUAUUUAUUUUAAAGAUUUAUUUUAUUUGCUUAAUAUGAGAAUAUUAUAGUUGUCAAACACACCAAAAGAGGACAUCAGAUUCCAUUAUAGAUGGUUGUAUGCCACAAUGUGUUUACUGAGAACUGCACUCAGGACCUCUGGAAAAACAGUCAGUGCUCUUAAAUGCUGAAUCAGCUUAGCAGCCUAAAGUACUUUUGAUAAUAAUAAUAAAAAUAAAAAUAAAAAUAAAAAUAAUAAUAAUAAUAAUAAUAAUAGUAAUAAUAAUAAUGCUCUUCCCCCUCCUCUGUCUCAAGAAGUACUAACAAUAAAGAAGACAACAUCAUAGCUGCCCUUCCCUCAGCACUAAAAGAGAGAAAAGUUUUACUUUGUCUUGGUUAUGAAGAUUUUUCUUGUUGACUGGGCUCAUAGCUCAGUCCUGAAGCCAGGUGCCAUUUCCCUGAAAAUGGGAACCCCUUUUGGAGGAAUCUGCUUACCUUGGAGGAAAUGGAAAACAGUGAGCAAGGUUUCUUCACUGAUAUGAACCUUGAGAGAAUGGAGGGAGCCAAGGAAAGCCACAGACAACAUCAUUCUACAUUCUAGAAGAUCAAGGCCUUCUCAUAAAAAAAAAAAAUCCUUGUAGAUGUGAAUUCAGCAGUGAGAUAGGACCAUGUUGUACUGAGAGACCCCACCCAACAGCUGAGUCAGGCUGAUAGAGACACCUACAGCCAAGCAGUGAAUGGAGCUUGAGGAAAGUUUUUUGGCACAAAAGGCAAUAGGAACUGCACAGGAAGGCCAACAGUGUCAACUAACCUAAACCACGGGGAACUCUUAGAGCCUGAGGCCCCAACCGAAGAUCAUGCACAGGGUGGUCCUAGAUCCCUAGUGGAUAUGGGGCAGACAUGGUUACGUUGUCUGGCUGCAAUUCGAGAGGGUGGGCCUAAUUCCGAAGAGACUCGAUGUUUCAGAGUUGGGGCCAUAACUAGGCAUGUCAUCAUCUUAGGAGAGAAGAGGAUUGGGACAGAGACUCUGUGAGGAAGUGACAAGCGAGGGGCAGCGUUUGAGUCCCUUACCCCAAACUCCAUACCUUUCUGAUUUCUUCUUUCAAAAAGUCAAAAUAACAGUAGUUAAAAGGCAUGUAUAGUCCCUGAAUAGCUGUUCAUUUGGCCACGCAUUUCAAAAACCUACAACAUUGAGAGUGCAGACAUCGGGAAAUAGCUUCAAAAAUGAUCUUCAAAAAUUAAAUAUUCUCCAGCUAUCAGCUACCAGCUUGACAAAACUGGAAGACACAGAGCCAGAACAAGAAUAUACUUGUUCAUAUAUACAUAGAGAAAAAUGAUCAGACAAGAUAGAAAACAGAUCACAACUUACCUGGAUUCAAAAGAAGAGAUCCUCAGUUCCUGUAAUGUAUUCUGCAUGAGUUUACAGAGUUUAUGGGUUAAUGACUGAAAAUAAACACCUACAAAAUCCAACAAUAAACUAUCCACUAACUGCAAUAUUUAUAAGAGCUAAACAAAUAUGUCGAAAGUAUAUUUUUUCAGCUAUAUAUGAGUAUACUAAUGUUUAUUAAUUUGGAUAUUAAUAAAAUUUAAA
Non-coding RNA from Rattus norvegicus (Norway rat), 2353 nucleotides. Lineage: Eukaryota; Metazoa; Chordata; Mammalia; Rodentia; Muridae. The record is from RefSeq and is a predicted model, not a curated record.